Non-coding RNA from Schistosoma rodhaini, 45 nucleotides. Lineage: Eukaryota; Metazoa; Platyhelminthes; Trematoda; Strigeidida; Schistosomatidae. The record is from Rfam.
AUCCAAAUGAUGAGUUCAAAACAGGAGGAAACGCGCGUCCUGGAU